This 460-nucleotide ribosomal RNA is filed under the name uncultured bacterium. RNAcentral describes it as "partial 16S ribosomal RNA". It matches the Rfam family "Bacterial small subunit ribosomal RNA", at positions 338 to 795 of the family's 1533-position model. The record is from RNAcentral.
CCUACGGGUGGCAGCAGUGAGGAAUAUUGGUCAAUGGGCGCGAGCCUGAACCAGCCAAGUCGCGUGAAGGAUGACUGCCCUACGGGUUGUAAACUUCUUUUGUCAAGGAAUAAAGUGCGGCACGUGUGCCUUUUUGUAUGUACUUUAUGAAUAAGGAUCGGCUAACUCCGUGCCAGCAGCCGCGGUAAUACGGAGGAUCCGAGCGUUAUCCGGAUUUAUUGGGUUUAAAGGGUGCGUAGACGGGUUGUUAAGUCAGUUGUGAAAAUUGGCGGCUCAACCGCAGAAGUGCAAUUGAUACUGGCAGUCUUGAGUAGAGGUGAAGUAGGCGGAAGUCGUGGUGUAGCGGUGAAAUGCAUAGAUAUCACGAAGAACUCCGAUUGCGAAGGCAGCAUACUAAACUGCCACUGACAUUGAGGCACGAAAGUGUGGGUAUCGAACAGGAUUAGAUACCCGAGUAGUC